AAUUCAAUCAAAUUUCAUGGGUUCAACAGCAAAAUUUUCAUCAUUCCCACAAUUCAAUGGAAUUUCAUGGGUUUAACAACAACAUUUUCAUCAUUCUCAAACUUUUAUCAAAUUUCAUGGGUUUAACAAUAACAUUUUCAUCAUUUCCACAAAUCAAUCAAUUUUCACGGGUUUAAUAGCACUAUUUUCAUCAUUUACACAAUUAAAUAUAUUUCAUGGGUUUAACAAC
RNAcentral lists this long non-coding RNA (229 nucleotides) under Lathyrus oleraceus (garden pea). RNAcentral describes it as "Pisum sativum (pea) long non-coding RNA (PSAT_LNC039708)". Lineage: Eukaryota; Viridiplantae; Streptophyta; Magnoliopsida; Fabales; Fabaceae. The record is from RNAcentral.